AGGGCUAUAGCUCAGUCGGUAGAGCGCCUCGUUUACACCCCGAGAAGGUCUACGGUUCGAAUCCGUAUAGCCCUA
Molecule: transfer RNA, 75 nt
Filed under: Gentiana leucomelaena
Lineage: Eukaryota; Viridiplantae; Streptophyta; Magnoliopsida; Gentianales; Gentianaceae
Description: tRNA-Val
Rfam family: tRNA
About the family: Transfer RNA (tRNA) molecules are approximately 80 nucleotides in length. Their secondary structure includes four short double-helical elements and three loops (D, anti-codon, and T loops).
Source: RNAcentral